RNAcentral lists this ribosomal RNA (253 nucleotides) under uncultured bacterium. RNAcentral describes it as "partial 16S ribosomal RNA". It matches the Rfam family "Bacterial small subunit ribosomal RNA", at positions 524 to 776 of the family's 1533-position model. The record is from RNAcentral.
UACGUAGGGUGCAAGCGUUGUCCGGAAUUAUUGGGCGUAAAGAGCUCGUAGGCGGUUUGUCGCGUCUGCUGUGAAAACUCGGGGCUUAACCCCGGGCCUGCAGUGGGUACGGGCAGACUAGAGGUAGGCAGGGGAGAGCGGAACUCCUGGUGUAGCGGUGGAAUGCGCAGAUAUCAGGAAGAACACCGGUGGCGAAGGCGGCUCUCUGGGCCUUACCUGACGCUGAGGAGCGAAAGCGUGGGGAGCGAACAGG